Molecule: long non-coding RNA, 546 nt
Organism: Oncorhynchus keta (chum salmon)
Lineage: Eukaryota; Metazoa; Chordata; Actinopteri; Salmoniformes; Salmonidae
Exons: 3
Source: RefSeq, a predicted model, not a curated record
GCUAGGCUCUAAGGUGCAUGUCUGCGCAGGGAGACAGCUAGGCUCUAAGGUGCAUGUCUGCGCAGGGAGACAGCUAGGCUCUAAGGUGCAUGUCUGCGCAGGGAGACAGCUAGGCUCUAAGGUGCAUGUCUGCGCAGGGAGACAGCUAGGCUCUAAGGUGCAUGUCUGCGCAGGGAGACAGCUAGGCUCUAAGGUGCAUGUCUGCGCAGGGAGACAGCUAGGGUCUAAGGUGCAUGUCUGCGCAGGGAGACAGCUAGGCUCUAAGGUGCAUGUCUGCGCAGGGAGACAGCUAGGCUCUAAGGUGCAUGUCUGCGCAGGGAGACAGCUAGGCUCUAAGGUGCAUGUCUGCGCAGGGAGACAGCUAGGCUCUAAGGUGCAUGUCUGCGCAGGGAGACAGCUAGGCUCUAAGGUGCAUGUCUGCGCAGGGAGACAGCUAGGCUCUAAGGUGCAUGUCUGCGCAGGGAGACAGCUAGGCUCUAAGGUGCAUGUCUGCGCAGGGAGACAGCCUAGCUGUUCAGCAGUCUGAUGGCCUGGCGGUAGAAGCUG